GAUUCCUAAGAGCCAAAGCAGGAAGACUGGAGGAAAGGAAAGCGAAACUCUGCUUGCCGGUACAGUGUCACUUUGGACUUGGGCACUGAGGCGGCUGGGGCGCCACGGUUGGAAGUGCAGGAACUUGUCUGGCUUAUAACUCACAAGGUGGUAACUUGUAAGGCAGCCAGAGCUGACUGACUAGGAGCUCUGCAGGAUGGACAAGGUGUUAGGCCGCAUCCAAAUUCUGGUUCUGCAAUCAGACUCAGAGGGCUCAGGCUUCCCUGCAAGUGUGUGGCUACAGGGCAGGACGGCCCUACAGCUGACCAUCUGAGCUCAGCCUGAGCUCCCAGCACUGUGGGCUGCAGACCAGUCAGCAUGAGUGCCAGGGACUCAUACUUCCUCCAUUUUCUGUGGCACAGAAGUCGGCCCCGGACGGGGAAGCUGAGGCUCAGAGGAUGGACAGGAGCUGCCUGGAGUGAAGCUGGUUGCUGCCGGGCAAACCCAGGUAGCUCAG
Molecule: long non-coding RNA, 496 nt
Organism: Rhinolophus ferrumequinum (greater horseshoe bat)
Lineage: Eukaryota; Metazoa; Chordata; Mammalia; Chiroptera; Rhinolophidae
Exons: 3
Source: RefSeq, a predicted model, not a curated record